UACGUAGGUGGCAAGCGUUAUCCGGAUUUAUUGGGCGUAAAGGGAUCGCAGGCGGUCUUUUAAGUCUGAUGUGAAAGCCUUCGGCUUAACCGGAGUAGUGCAUUGGAAACUGGGAGACUUGAGUGCAGAAGAGGAGAGUGGAACUCCAUGUGUAGCGGUGAGAUGCGUAGAUAUAUGGAAGAACACCAGUGGCGAAAGCGGCUCUCUGGUCUGUAACUGACGCUGAGGUUCGAAAGCGUGGGUAGCAAACAGG
Molecule: ribosomal RNA, 253 nt
Filed under: uncultured bacterium
Lineage: Bacteria
Description: partial 16S ribosomal RNA
Rfam family: Bacterial small subunit ribosomal RNA
Source: RNAcentral